Salvia hispanica is the source of this 1107-nucleotide non-coding RNA. NCBI's taxonomy places the organism in Eukaryota, Viridiplantae, Streptophyta, Magnoliopsida, Lamiales, Lamiaceae. The record is from RefSeq and is a predicted model, not a curated record.
UUAAGUGGUAAAGAGGUAUAUAUAAACCCUUACAAAAUCCUUGCUUCCGUACAACUCAGCAAGCGUAAAAUUUGCUGAUAAUGCACAACCCCACAACCAUCCACAACCAUCCCUCAAUCGCCGAAAUGCCGGAUCCUUCGCCCGUCGCAAUUCGCAUCGACGGUUCCGAACAAGACGCCGCCUUAUCGAAAUCGGAAUUCCUGACCCAACAAGAAGUCUUCGAGCGGCGCAAACGGAGACUGAAACAGCUGGAGAGGAUUUAUCGUCACCAGUAUUGGCUAUUGUUUGAGGAGCUGAAAUUGAAGUACAGGGAGUACUAUUGGCAGUAUGGGAAAAGCCCCUUCGUUGAGGAGAAUGAGGAGAAUCAGAGGAUCAAUUCGGAUAACGAUUCCACUGGUAGGUGUGGCGUCAACGGUUGUAAGGCAAAGGCGAUGGUUCUAACGGACUUUUGUCAUAUGCAUAUACUCUCUGAUACCAAACAGACCCUAUACAAACCUUGCAAUUUCAACAUUAAGAGGUAUGUGGAAGUUUCUUUCCUGAAAAGAACACUCAUCUAAUAGCAGUAUCAGUUCGACUACAGGACCGAUACUCUGUGGAAAACCAAUACUUAGAUCAACGGUCCCUUCUUUUUGCCCUCCCCAUAUCCAAAAGGCUGAAAGGCAUUUGGUACGCACUCUCAAGAAGUCAGGCCUCAACAUCACCUCGACGAGUAAGCUCGCUCCCAAGGUCCACGUGAUCAUGAUGGAGUACAUCCGGAUAAUCCAACAGAAGAGGAAAGCUACAAAGAGAAAACUGGAGAAUGCAGAGAUCAAGGUGGAGAACAACCCUUGAUGCAUCAUUCAUGCAGAAUAAGAAUACUCAAUUGUAGAAAUUCUUUUAUUUCUUGACCAGGUUGAUGAAUCUGCCAAUUCUAGCUCUAGAUUUGAAGUUAGUGAAUAGUUUGAUUGUGCGAAUUAUUAAGUCAAUCUUGGUAUGUGGCUUGAUAUGUAUGGCUUGUUAUUAAGUUUCAAAUCUAGUCCACUGUAGAGGAAAGCUUGCCUUGUUCAAUGAAGCAAUUAAGAGAGAAUACAUUCUUUUGCCAUAAAGUGCAUUUCUUUCCCUCUCCUA